GUGGGGAAUAUUGCACAAUGGGGGAAACCCUGAUGCAGCGACGCCGCGUGAGUGAAGAAGUAUUUCGGUACGUAAAGCUCUAUCAGCAAGGAAGAAAAUGACGGUACUUGACUAAGAAGCCCCGGCUAACUACGUGCCAGCAGCCGCGGUAAUACGUAGGGGGCAAGCGUUAUCCGGAUUUACUGGGUGUAAAGGGAGCGUAGACGGUAUGGUAAGUCAGAUGUGAAAGCCCGGGGCUCAACCCCGGGACUGCAUUUGAAACUAUCAGACUAGAGUGCAGGAGAGGUAAGUGGAAUUCCUAGUGUAGCGGUGAAAUGCGUAGAUAUUAGGAGGAACACCAGUGGCGAAGGCGGCUUACUGGACUGUAACUGACGUUGAGGCUCGAAAGCGUGGGGAGCAAACAGGAUUAGAAACCCUAGUAGUCC
This 425-nucleotide ribosomal RNA is filed under the name uncultured bacterium. Its description in RNAcentral is "partial 16S ribosomal RNA". It matches the Rfam family "Bacterial small subunit ribosomal RNA", at positions 354 to 796 of the family's 1533-position model. The record is from RNAcentral.